This 570-nucleotide ribosomal RNA is filed under the name Triticum aestivum (bread wheat). RNAcentral's name for it is "partial small subunit ribosomal RNA". The record is from RNAcentral. Lineage: Eukaryota; Viridiplantae; Streptophyta; Magnoliopsida; Poales; Poaceae.
AUGGAAGGAAGCAAGCCGCCGUUUCUUGCGAUCCGGCCAAGCAAAGAUCCGGGAGGCAAUCUUACAUGUGCUAGUCAACCCGCAAGGAUCACCUCCAUCCUUACGCUACUCUCGUUGCUGCUCCUUUCUUGCGGAGUCGGCAGCAUCCGCUGCUCCUCCUCAACGAUGGCAAUCCAUGAUAACAGCACGGACAUGAUGUCGCUGCUAGAUUUCAAGCGGGCCAUCACCAACGACCCAAGUCAAGCCUUGAGAUCUUGGGACCUCGGCGUCCCCCUUUGCGGAUGGAACGGCGUCGUCUGCAGCGGCCUGGAGCACCCGGGGCGAGUCAUCGAGCUGAACCUUAUGAACCUAUCUUUGUCGGGCACGAUUUCACUAUCCCUCGGAAUCUAUCAUUCCUUAGGAGAUUGGACCUGUCCACUAAUGGCUUCACCGGCGAGAUACCUCCUCUCAACCGUCUCCAAAGAUUGGAGUACCUUCUCUUGGGACAGAACUCACUGCAAGGGACCAUUCCGGAUACUCUUACAAACUACUCUAAUCUAUACGAACUAUUCCUGUCUAGCAACUUACUAA